AGGAUAAACGCUGGCGGCGUGCAUUAGACAUGCAAGUCGAACGGACUUCUCGGGGCUUGCUCUGAGAAGUUAGUGGCGGACGGCUGAGUAACGCGUAGGUGACCUAUCCUGAAGUGGGAAUAACUGCCCGAAAGGGUGGACUAAUACCGCAUGUGAUCGUCUGUUCAUUCGAACGAUACAAAGCCGUAAGGC
Molecule: ribosomal RNA, 192 nt
Filed under: uncultured soil bacterium
Lineage: Bacteria
Description: partial 16S ribosomal RNA
Rfam family: Bacterial small subunit ribosomal RNA
Source: RNAcentral